Molecule: long non-coding RNA, 107 nt
Organism: Sphaeramia orbicularis (orbiculate cardinalfish)
Lineage: Eukaryota; Metazoa; Chordata; Actinopteri; Kurtiformes; Apogonidae
Exons: 3
Source: RefSeq, a predicted model, not a curated record
UAUUUUAACGGUGAUAAUAAUUAGAACUGUCUUACAAUCUUCACGUGCUGCGUCAGUUGAUAGUUUACAUUCUAGCUCUGUUAGCUUAGCCCUGUUUUUAGACAGAA